AAAGUAUUAAGUUAAGGAAACUAAAAGCCUUCAAAGCUUAAAUUGAUUUGGUUCAUACUUAGA
RNAcentral lists this transfer RNA (63 nucleotides) under Tityus serrulatus (Brazilian scorpion). Its description in RNAcentral is "tRNA-Trp". The record is from RNAcentral. Lineage: Eukaryota; Metazoa; Arthropoda; Arachnida; Scorpiones; Buthidae.